This is a long non-coding RNA of Papaver somniferum (opium poppy), 2537 nucleotides long. RefSeq lists it as uncharacterized. The transcript is spliced from 3 exons. NCBI's taxonomy places the organism in Eukaryota, Viridiplantae, Streptophyta, Magnoliopsida, Ranunculales, Papaveraceae. The record is from RefSeq and is a predicted model, not a curated record.
CAUUGAAAAAAAGAAACUCAAUGCAUAUGUUAUUUGUUAAUGGUUUAUAUUGAGUGUUUAGAUUGAAAUUAUUCAUUAAAACACUAUGCAUGUAGUUUUCAAUUCAAUGGAGAUUUUCGGUAUUUCUUUUGUUUUAGAUUUUUUGUUUAUAUGAAGAACACCAAGAACGCCAUGACGAAGAAGAUGAUGAAUAAUACCGCGUAAAUAUAUACACAAUCUGUGUAUGUGUUUACCCUAAAAAAAUCAAGGAAGAAAACAAUAAUCAACAACUCACGUAAUUCUCUAUGUCCUCAAUCCAAAUGUAUUAAAAGAUCUUGUUCGGUUACUUUUAAUUAGUAGUACUAUAUAAGGGUAUCCCUAUGUAAAUCAUGUGUAUUACCUUAAUUGACAGACAUAACAGGGCAUGUUCCUACUAGCAAAAUUAUUGAUGAAGAUGAUAACCUGUAAUACCCCAAAAAAAUUACCAGCAUGUAUAUAAAUAGUUUUAGGUGCGAAUGAGACCCUUGGUGCAAUUUAGUAUUUCAAUUAGCAUUACCCCAAGUUAUUAUUAGAAAACCUCUUCCUCCUAGUUCUCUGUCAUAUAAGAAUUGGAAUAUUUAUAGGAGGAAAUACACAGUGCUUAGUAUCAUAUCAAUAGAUUUAAUUUGGGAGAAAAUGAAAGAGUUAACAAGUAGUUAUCGAGCGGUAGUAUUUGUUUGAAUUUACUUUUAUCCCCAUGGUAUAAUCAAGUUCUUAUUGUUUAUCAUAGAAUUCACUUGUUUGUGUUCCUUAGGGAUUGAAUAGUGAAAGUCAUUCUGGAUAAGUACAUAAGGAUUUGUUACUACAAGGUUGAGGCAAGUUUGUUCGAUUACUUAGCCUUGAAUACAUGUAGAAGUGGCAGCCGAAUAUCUAGUAUGUAUUCUAUGAGCUUGUGAUUUAAUCAGUGGUGAAGCCAGAGCUUGAAAAUAAGGGGGACUAAAAUAUUUUUACAUAAAUUGUGAAUAUUUUGGUGGACUAAUUAUGAAAUACUUGAUAAAUUCAAAGCUUUUUUUUUCUCCUGGUUUUGCUAAUUUUAAGGGGGGCUAGAGCCAGGGUUAGUCAACCCUUGGAUCCGCCCCUGAAUUCAAUCAAUCUCUUAUUAUUGAUUAAUGGUCAUCUGAUGGGGUAAGUGGAUGUCGUUAUUUUGUUGUGUGAUAUGGCGAAGAUGGUAGUAAUUAUAACUAAAUUCAGUAGAUAUUCGAUAGUCUGCUUCCAUUUCCUAUUGGAGAAAUUUUUGCUCUAGACAAGUUAUUUUAGUCUUGAUCUUAGGUUUAAUUAUUUGGGUACAUGACUAUGUGAGUACUAGCGAUCUAAGGUAUUGGAUAUGUUAGAGCAUUGCUCGGUCGAACUCACAAGUGUUGCUAUCUCAAGCUUGUUGUCAAAUUUAGUUGUCAAAACUAUAUCUUGAUCAUUUCUAGUCUACAAUUAGUUAAGUCUCGAAUUAGGAUAGAAAAUAUAGUUGAGAAAUGGACAUCACAGCAGUCAUCACUACGUUCUAGCGUUUGAAGGCGAAGAUCAACCGAAGCUUUUGGAGAACUUCUUCAACAAAAGGUAAGUGAAUACUGGACCAUCUAUUUCUCAAGUUAUAUUCACCUUUCUAUCUUUGAGACGUUGUCGCGUAGCUAAUUAGACUAUCAUAAGCAUAUCAAGAAUUUUGAGUCAAGAUUCUUCUUAACUACUUUAUGACUACUUUAUGUGAUUUGUUAUUAUUGUGUGAUUCAUCUCAUAAUAAUAUUAUAGAAUUGUUGGUGUGAAUGAUCUUGUCGAGCUAGCUCCAAAAUCUAGAAUACAUAUAUGUGUUCCAUCGCCAAUAAAUGGUCCUUAAGUAUUAUUUAAUUGUCUCUUGUUCUUUAAACAUGUUUAUUCAAGAUAAAAAGAUGUUUCAAUCUUAUGUGAUAAACUAUGAUAAAACCCGUGAGAACGAGUAACCACAAUUGGUAUAAUUAAAAGUUAUUCAAAGUUUGUGUAUUAUAAUUUGGUUCAUAGACCGUGUUAGAGAAGUUCAUUUUUCUUAUUAAGGAUUGACUACAUACCCUUAUCUCCUUAAGAAAAUUCAGUUCCACGGCUCAUGUAACAAGAGGUAUCACCAAGAAGGAUGCAAUAGAAUCCGUCAACGUCUACAUAUGUGAAGGAAUCAAAUCAUCAAGGAACCAAAAGAACAUAUCAACCAGAAAUGCAAAAGGUAUGUCGCGGAUUAGGAUAUAAACGUGUAGUUGAGCAUUGGACUUCACGGCGUUCACCAUUUGAAGAAGAAGAUCUCCUGAAGACUUUGGAGGAACUUCAACGACAAAAGGUAUAGUUAGGAAUCUUGAAGGAGUCUGAUUGAUUCCAGUUUCGGUGGAUAUUCUGAAGAUAUCUAACUGAGGAUGGACAUCUAUAAUUUUUCUAUUACUUGUUUUCGUUAUGCAUUUGUGAUAGUGGGGAUAAUUGAACUUGGCUAAUUCUAAUCAUUUUGUCGUCGGUUAAACAUUAUUUAUUUGUGGAUCCUUUUGAUGUCAUCAGAACACCAUAUGUAUUAA